CCUCUGUAGUCCAAGAGAUGCCCUUGGUUGUUAGUACUCUGGGCAUACCAGGCUUGCAGAGAGAGCACCUGUGUGAGGAAGCCGAGGCAUGCCUGUUAAGAGUCACAGCAGCAACAUGCGCAAUAUUCCUCUAACAGUUAUAAUUCUGUUGCCACGGAGAUAAUGACUUAUCCCAUGUCAUUAUUGAUCUAUCAACAGUAAGAGCAAUUUUGCAGUCUGAUAUUGUUUAGCAAAUAGAGUAACAUCUGCUGAACACUGAAAAACUGCUAUAAAU
Molecule: non-coding RNA, 274 nt
Organism: Pygoscelis adeliae (Adelie penguin)
Lineage: Eukaryota; Metazoa; Chordata; Aves; Sphenisciformes; Spheniscidae
Source: Rfam